RNAcentral lists this ribosomal RNA (515 nucleotides) under Synoeca virginea. RNAcentral's name for it is "partial 16S ribosomal RNA". Lineage: Eukaryota; Metazoa; Arthropoda; Insecta; Hymenoptera; Vespidae. The record is from RNAcentral.
GUCUUAUUGUGAAUUAAAUAAAUAAUAAGUCGAUUCUGCCCAUUGAAAAAAAAAAAUUAAAAGGCUGCGGUAUUUUAACUGUACAAAGGUAGCAAAAUAAAUAGUUUUUUAAUUGAAAACUUGAAUGAAAGAGUUAAUAAGAUAUUAAUUGUCUCGAUUUUAUAAUAAUUAAUUUAAAUUAAAAGUUAAAAUGCUUUUAUAAAUUUAUUAGACGAUAAGACCCUAAGAAUUUAAUUAUAUAUUUUUAAUAUAAAUUAUAAUUAUAAUAUUAAAUAUUUAAUAAUUUUAUUGGGAGGAUAAUUAAAUUAUUUAACUUUAAUUGAUAAAAAAUAUUGAUAAAUAAAAAUAAUGAUUAAGAUAAAGAUUAUAAGAAUUAAUUACCUUAGGGAUAACAGCGUAAUAAUUUUGGAGAGUUCAUAUUGAUAAAAUUGUUUACGACCUCGAUGUUGAAUUAAAAUAAAAAUUAAAUGAAGAUAUUUAAAUUUUUAGUCUGUUCGACUAUUAAAAUUUUACAU